RNAcentral lists this small nuclear RNA (23 nucleotides) under Arabidopsis thaliana (thale cress). RNAcentral's name for it is "snRNA_17636". The record is from RNAcentral. Lineage: Eukaryota; Viridiplantae; Streptophyta; Magnoliopsida; Brassicales; Brassicaceae.
AACGUCAAAAAAGACAUUCAACA